RNAcentral lists this ribosomal RNA (301 nucleotides) under uncultured bacterium. RNAcentral describes it as "partial 16S ribosomal RNA". It matches the Rfam family "Archaeal small subunit ribosomal RNA", at positions 459 to 759 of the family's 1478-position model. The record is from RNAcentral.
CAGUCGCCACGGUAAAACCAGCAGCCCAAGUGGUGGUCGCGAUUAUUGGGCCUAAAGCGCUCGUAGCCGGGCCGGUAAGUCCCUUGUGAAAUCGGACGGCCUAACCGUUCGGCGUGCAAGGGAUACUGUCGGUCUUGAGGCCGGGAGACGUCCGAGGUACUCCGGGGGUAGCGGUGAAAUGUUCUGAUCCUCGGGGGACCACCGGUGGCGAAGGCGUUCGACGAGAACGGGCCUGACGGUGAGGGGCGAAGGCUAGGGGAGCAAACGGGAUUAGAUACCCCCGUAGUCCCUGUCUCUUAUA